Molecule: transfer RNA, 86 nt
Filed under: Streptomyces kurssanovii
Lineage: Bacteria; Bacillati; Actinomycetota; Actinomycetes; Kitasatosporales; Streptomycetaceae
Description: tRNA-Ala
Source: RNAcentral
GCGUGAGCUGGUGCAGGUUCAGCGUGACACCGGUCGCGACGGUGUGACUCCAGCCCACCUUGUCGUUGAAGCCGAUACUGACGAGC